UUAUCUAAAAUCAUAAAAUAGUGUUCUAUCUUUAUUAUUAGAAGAAAUUCAUUGUAUUUCUUCAAGUCACGAGAACGUAUCAGAGAGAGAAAGAGAGAGAGAGAGAGAGAGACAUUGCAGCAUAAUUAACUAUGAAACUAAGGGCAUGAUACUCGCAAAAUUGAAAUACGUGUGUGACUAUACUUGACUUGCACCACUAUAAUUUUCAGCCCGCUAUAUGUGAACCACAGUAUCGAACUUGAUUGGCUACAUUCUAUGUCUACAUGUACUUCCUCUUUUCCUCCGCUUUCUUUUUCCCCUGCGGCCACCUGCUUAACGUAGCACGGCCGGCGCUAAUCUCAAUUAGUCUUUAUUGCCGGCUUGGCGACGCCGGACGACGACGAUGGGUUUCAUGCACGGACGCGGCUUAAUGCGCUCGCCGCGACCUCACACGAGCAUUCCAGAUACGCGACAGGAUCGUAGCGAAAAAGAGAGAGAUGGAAGAACAUCUCGCCGACUCUAGAGAGUAGGACCUGCCUGAAUGCCGCCCGGGGCGCUAGUGAGGGUUGUUGAUCGAGAAUUUAUCGGGACUAAGCAAACGGGAGAAAUGGAUAAUUAAAGCGAAACGAGCGGUCGACGCGGAAAAGGUCGGAACUCGGCGUGAGGUCGAAACAUGUACGGCGAUCGCGACGUCGCACAGGUUUACUAUAAUCGAGACUGAUUGGAGAGAUGUUCACUAUUCGUAGGCCGGUCGGCGCAUCAAACAUAAAAAGAAGAUUAAAACGGAAACACCCAAUAGAUCUCAUAAAGGACAUAACCCAGCAAACAAACACUCACCACACUAAAGAAAUAAAUCAAUCAAAUUCGAAGAUGGUAUCCCACUGGGGGUAGCCAUCCACAUGUUAUAUUAUUAUACCACUAAGCUAUAAUAUUUUACCAAAUGUCCUACUGGACAAAUUGUAAAAUGUAAAUAAAUAAAUAAAAAAAAAACAAUUAAAAAAAA
Bombus huntii is the source of this 982-nucleotide long non-coding RNA. RefSeq lists it as uncharacterized. The record is from RefSeq and is a predicted model, not a curated record. The transcript is spliced from 2 exons. Lineage: Eukaryota; Metazoa; Arthropoda; Insecta; Hymenoptera; Apidae.